Molecule: ribosomal RNA, 446 nt
Filed under: uncultured bacterium
Lineage: Bacteria
Description: bacterial SSU rRNA
Rfam family: Bacterial small subunit ribosomal RNA
Source: RNAcentral
CCCAGACUCCUACGGGAGGCAGCAGUGGGGAAUAUUGCACAAUGGGGGAAACCCUGAUGCAGCGACGCCGCGUGAGUGAAGAAGUAUUUCGGUAUGUAAAGCUCUAUCAGCAGGGAAGAAAAUGACGGUACCUGAUUAAGAAGCCCCGGCUAACUACGUGCCAGCAGCCGCGGUAAUACGUAGGGGGCAAGCGUUAUCCGGAUUUACUGGGUGUAAAGGGAGCGUAGACGGCAGCACAAGUCUGGAGUGAAAUGCCGGGGCUUAACCCCGGAACUGCUUUGGAAACUGGCGCGCUUGAGUGCGGGAGGGGUAAGCGGAAUUCCUAGUGUAGCGGUGAAAUGCGUAGAUAUUAGGAGGAACACCGGUGGCGAAGGCGGCUUACUGGACCGUAACUGACGUUGAGGCUCGAAAGCGUGGGGAGCAAACAGGAUUAGAUACCCUAGUAA